Molecule: ribosomal RNA, 501 nt
Filed under: uncultured bacterium
Lineage: Bacteria
Description: bacterial SSU rRNA
Rfam family: Bacterial small subunit ribosomal RNA
Source: RNAcentral
CAGGAUGAACGCUAGCUACAGGCUUAACACAUGCAAGUCGAGGGGCAGCAUUGGAGUAGCAAUACUUCAGAUGGCGACCGGCGCACGGGUGAGUAACACGUAUCCAACCUGCCGCUUACUCGGGGAUAGCCUUUCGAAAGAAAGAUUAAUACCCGAUGGUAUAAAGAGUUCGCAUGUUCUCUUUAUUAAAGAAUUUCGGUAAGCGAUGGGGAUGCGUUCCAUUAGAUAGUUGGCGGGGUAACGGCCCACCAAGUCUACGAUGGAUAGGGGUUCUGAGAGGAAGGUCCCCCACAUUGGAACUGAGACACGGUCCAAACUCCUACGGGAGGCAGCAGUGAGGAAUAUUGGUCAAUGGACGAGAGUCUGAACCAGCCAAGUAGCGUGAAGGAUGACUGCCCUAUGGGUUGUAAACUUCUUUUAUAAGGGAAUAAAGUGCAGGACGUGUCCUGUUUUGUAUGUACCCUGAGAAUAAGGAUCGGCUAACUCCGUGCCAGCCGCCGC